Leptidea sinapis is the source of this 277-nucleotide long non-coding RNA. RefSeq lists it as uncharacterized. The record is from RefSeq and is a predicted model, not a curated record. NCBI's taxonomy places the organism in Eukaryota, Metazoa, Arthropoda, Insecta, Lepidoptera, Pieridae. The transcript is spliced from 2 exons.
AAUCAUCAAAAAUAAAACAAGCGUGUAAUGAUAAAAGCGCGCGCAAUUAAUUGCAGGCACGCAGUAUUCUCAUCAUCAUGGACUUAAGACUUCUACUCCUGGUCGUGAUGCUUAUCAUGUUCGUCGGAAACUCCGUCGACGCUGGUUUCUUUUAUAACCAAGUUCCAUUAAAACUCGAAGAAUUAAAAAAACAUCAUCUCAAAUGUAUUCCUGGUAGAACUGUUAUCAGAAUGAAAGAAAAAGGAUCAAAUGAAAAUUCAUAUGAAACUGAAGAAUU